GUGCACAAAACACGGAAGAUCCAACAGAAACAGCAACUAUGACAUCUAGUCAAGUACCAGAAAGUACAACAACUUCAGGUGCAAUGUGGAACAGUACAUCUGCCAAAGUCCUAACAUCAGAAGCACAAAUCACAGCAGAUGUAACAGAUGAACAAAUCACAGCAGAUGUAACAGACAAACAAAUCAUAGUGGAUAUAAC
Molecule: long non-coding RNA, 199 nt
Organism: Protopterus annectens (West African lungfish)
Lineage: Eukaryota; Metazoa; Chordata; Ceratodontiformes; Protopteridae
Exons: 5
Source: RefSeq, a predicted model, not a curated record